UAGGAUAUGGUGUAGUAGGUAGCACGGAGAAUUUUGAGUUCUCAGGGGUAGGUUCAAGGCCUGCUGUCCUAG
Molecule: transfer RNA, 72 nt
Filed under: Galago senegalensis (Senegal galago)
Lineage: Eukaryota; Metazoa; Chordata; Mammalia; Primates; Galagidae
Description: tRNA-Gln
Rfam family: tRNA
About the family: Transfer RNA (tRNA) molecules are approximately 80 nucleotides in length. Their secondary structure includes four short double-helical elements and three loops (D, anti-codon, and T loops). Further hydrogen bonds mediate the characteristic L-shaped molecular structure. tRNAs have two regions of fundamental functional importance: the anti-codon, which is responsible for specific mRNA codon recognition, and the 3' end, to which the tRNAs corresponding amino acid is attached (by aminoacyl-tRNA synthetases). tRNAs cope with the degeneracy of the genetic code in two manners: having more than one tRNA (with a specific anti-codon) for a particular amino acid; and 'wobble' base-pairing, i.e. permitting non-standard base-pairing at the 3rd anti-codon position.
Source: RNAcentral